This 1482-nucleotide long non-coding RNA is filed under the name Cricetulus griseus (Chinese hamster). Its description in RNAcentral is "lncRNA (ENSCGRG00015031801.1)". Lineage: Eukaryota; Metazoa; Chordata; Mammalia; Rodentia; Cricetidae. The record is from RNAcentral.
GUUUCCUUCCCGGCGCUGCUGGCAGGCUGCCCGCGGGCUGGAGCACGGCCUCCGAGAGCAGCCCGCGGCUCCGUGACCCUGCCAAGGAGGGGAACGCCGGCCAGGCCGGCCUCCGGAGCCCCUCGGGACGGCGCCGCCUUCCACCCCUGUAAGGUCAGAGGCGCCUGUCGUCGCCAUCCGUUUCAUCUGUCCCACUUUUCUCCCCCUCGCGCGCACGCAGCACCCCAUCGCUGGACAUCCUUUAGCCGCUCGCAACUCCCAAGCCGCGCUCACCCUCCGCCUCCGCCCUCCCCUCUCUCGCUUGGCGAUUUGGUCUUUUAGGAGCAUCUGGCUGCCCCUCGCUACUCCCCGCCUUUACUCAGACGCCUUCCUCACACCCCGUGCCAGAGCGAAUGCUCCUAGUUUUUUUUUUACCCCUAAGGUGGUUCCAACUACUGGCCGGAGGGAAACCUUUCCUGUCCUCACCCGCAGAUCGGCAGACGGUGCACUUAGCAGCUCUAUGCACCUUGGUUUGUCCAGACUGCCGUCUUGGUCUUGCUCAUUGCUGCAGUCCUAGUUCCCACCUCAGACAAUGAUGCUAAUUUUGAGAGAAAGUAAAGCAGGAAAAGACCGUCUUACGAGGCUUCCGCAGCCCUCUUAGGGUUCCUGUGGCCCAGAACCCUACAAGAGUGAUUCAAUUCUGUAAGAGAAGAUGGAGGGUGGCGGGGUGGGGGAGUAGGAACAGCUAGGCCAGGUGUGCACAGGUGUGCAGCCACAGUGAGCAACAGUACCCACGAGGUGGCCCCUCUGCCCCCAUCCACAGUGGCCUUUAGUCCACUGAGGCAAGAACCGACAAGCCCCUGCAGGCCCUGCUACCACAGCUGCAGGGACUUAAGCCUGGGCCAGACUCACAGGUACCCUGAGGUGAUCUGCCCUAAGAGUCGGGGACAGGGACGGGCACCAUAGUCACUGAAGUCCAGGCUUAAUGUUGGGUGGAGACAGGCAAGCCUCCAUGUUGCUGGUAUCCAUCUUGAGAGCCUUGCCGCCAGAGAAAGGGUUUCCAGAGCCAGGCAGCCUGUGGGCUGUUGUGUUUGUUUAUUUUUAUACUGCAUUUUUAUUUAUCUGUGUGUCGUAUGUGGAGAUCAGAGGACAGUAUGUAGGAGUCUCAUCUGCCAUGCGUGCCCCAGGGCUCAUGUUCAGGGCUGGAUAUUGGAUCUGGGUUGAGAAGGUGAACCUUUUUGAAGAAACAAAGGCACGUGACGACAUGCAGUGUAACAGUCAUCUGGGGAUUUCCACGAUUUUGUUGUUGUGAGACAGGAUCUCUCUCUCUCUCUCUCUCUCUCUCUCUCUCUCUCUCUCUCUGUGUGUGUGUGUGUGUGUGUGUCUAUCUCUCUCUUCUUUCUGUCCAUAGCACUGGCUGGAACUCAUUAUGUAGACCAAUCUGGCCUCUAGAACCCCCAAGGAUCCAGCUGCCUCAACCUCAAAAGUGCUGAGAUUAAAAAU